This 92-nucleotide small nucleolar RNA is filed under the name Dichanthelium oligosanthes. RNAcentral describes it as "Small nucleolar RNA snoR14". It matches the Rfam family "Small nucleolar RNA snoR14". The record is from Rfam by way of RNAcentral. Lineage: Eukaryota; Viridiplantae; Streptophyta; Magnoliopsida; Poales; Poaceae.
GCGAGGUGAYRMUGCAUGUAUGAAAAUCUGUCAAUCUCCUGAUGUCAUAAAGUGAUGAUGACUCCUCAUACAUCCUGACAGGCUCUGAUCAC